AUUGAACGCUGGCGGCAGGCCUAACACAUGCAAGUCGAGCGGUUGAAGGGAGCUUGCUCCUGGAUUCAGCGGCGGACGGGUGAGUAAUGCCUAGGAAUCUGCCUGGUAGUGGGGGAUAACGUCCGGAAACGGGCGCUAAUACCGCAUACGUCCUGAGGGAGAAAGUGGGGGACCUUCGGACCUCACGCUAUCAGAUGAGACUAGGUCGGAUUAGCUAGUUGGUGGGGUAAAGGCCUACCAAGGGGACGAUCCGUAACUGGUCUGAGAGGAUGAUCAGUCACACUGGAACUGAGAGACGGUCCAGACUCCGACGGGGGGCAACAGUGGGGAAUACUGGACGAUGGGCGAAAGCCUGAUCCAGCCAUACCGCGGGAGUGAAGAAGGUCUUCGGAUUGUAAAGCACUGAAAGUUGGGAGGAAGUACAGUAAGUCAAUACCGGACUAUAUUGACGUUACCAACAGAAUAAGCACCGGCUAACUUCGUG
Molecule: ribosomal RNA, 484 nt
Filed under: uncultured bacterium
Lineage: Bacteria
Description: partial 16S ribosomal RNA
Rfam family: Bacterial small subunit ribosomal RNA
Source: RNAcentral